UACGGAGGGGGCAAGCGUUGUCCGGAAUCACUGGGCGUAAAGCGCACGUAGGCGGGACGGUGCGUCGGUGCUGAAAGCGCCAGGCUUAACCUGGCGAGGCGUGCCGAUACGACCGACCUCGAGGCAGACAGAGGGUGGCGGAAUUCCGGGUGUAGUGGUGAAAUGCGUAGAGAUCCGGAGGAACGCCGGUGGCGAAAGCGGCCACCUGGGUCUGACCUGACGCUGAGGUGCGAAAGCGUGGGGAGCAAACCGG
This 253-nucleotide ribosomal RNA is filed under the name uncultured bacterium. Its description in RNAcentral is "partial 16S ribosomal RNA". It matches the Rfam family "Bacterial small subunit ribosomal RNA", at positions 524 to 776 of the family's 1533-position model. The record is from RNAcentral.